RNAcentral lists this ribosomal RNA (530 nucleotides) under Lactiplantibacillus plantarum. Its description in RNAcentral is "bacterial SSU rRNA". It matches the Rfam family "Bacterial small subunit ribosomal RNA", at positions 16 to 513 of the family's 1533-position model. Lineage: Bacteria; Bacillati; Bacillota; Bacilli; Lactobacillales; Lactobacillaceae. The record is from RNAcentral.
AUCCUGGCUCAGGACGAACGCGGCGGCGUGCCUAAUACAUGCAAGUCGAACGAACUCUGGUAUUGAUUGGUGCUUGCAUCAUGAUUUACAUUUGAGUGAGUGGCGAACUGGUGAGUAACACGUGGGAAACCUGCCCAGAAGCGGGGGAUAACACCUGGAAACAGAUGCUAAUACCGCAUAACAACUUGGACCGCAUGGUCCGAGUUUGAAAGAUGGCUUCGGCUAUCACUUUUGGAUGGUCCCGCGGCGUAUUAGCUAGAUGGUGGGGUAACGGCUCACCAUGGCAAUGAUACGUAGCCGACCUGAGAGGGUAAUCGGCCACAUUGGGACUGAGACACGGCCCAAACUCCUACGGGAGGCAGCAGUAGGGAAUCUUCCACAAUGGACGAAAGUCUGAUGGAGCAACGCCGCGUGAGUGAAGAAGGGUUUCGGCUCGUAAAACUCUGUUGUUAAAGAAGAACAUAUCUAGAGUAACUGUUCAGGUAUUGACGGUAUUUAACCAGAAAGCCACGGCUAACUACGUGCCAGCA